UACAGAGGUCUCGAGCGUUGUUCGGAUUCAUUGGGCGUAAAGGGUGCGUAGGCGGCGAGCUAAGUUUGGUGUGAAAUCCUGGGGCUUAACCUCAGAAAUGCACUGAAUACUGGUUUGCUAGAGGACUGGAGAGGAGAUUGGAAUUCACGGUGUAGCGGUGAAAUGCGUAGAUAUCGUGAGGAAGACCAGUGGCGAAAGCGGGUCUCUGGGCCAUUACUGACGCUGAGGAGCGAAAGCGUGGGGAGCGAACAGG
RNAcentral lists this ribosomal RNA (253 nucleotides) under uncultured bacterium. RNAcentral describes it as "partial 16S ribosomal RNA". It matches the Rfam family "Bacterial small subunit ribosomal RNA", at positions 524 to 776 of the family's 1533-position model. The record is from RNAcentral.